UUGGGCACUAGGUGUGGGGACCAUUCCACGGUUUCCGCGCCGCAGCUAACGCAUUAAGUGCCCCGCCUGGGGAGUACGGCCGCAAGGCUAAAACUCAAAGGAAUUGACGGGGGCCCGCACAAGCGGCGGAGCAUGCGGAUUAAUUCGAUGCAACGCGAAGAACCUUACCAAGGCUUGACAUGUUCUCGAUCGCCGAAACGCAUAUCGAUAGACGCAGACGACGCACUCUAGCAGACGUCCUGAGCAGCGCGCAUUACGCAGCUCACUAGGCUAGCGCAUACGUACGUGCAGCGCAGCAGCGCAGACGACGACCUCAUGGUACUGCUGUGCUGACUGACUGCAGCGACUUGCAUGCAGUCAUGCAUCGAUGCAGUAUGACUUGACUACGUAGAGAUACGGUUUCCCCUUUGGGGCGGGUUCACAGGUGGUGCAUGGUUGUCGUCAGCUCGUGUCGUGAGAUGUUGGGUUAAGUCCCGCAACGAGCGCAACCCUCGUUCCAUGUUGCCAGCACGUCAUGGUGGGGACUCAUGGGAGACUGCCGGGGUCAACUCGGAGGAAGGUGAGGACGACGUCAAAUCAUCAUGCCCCUUAUGUCUUGGGCUUCACGCAUGCUAGGGGGCCCGGAUGAGACGAUAGGACGCAGUACGACGCAGUAGCAGCAUAGCAGCAUAAGCCAGGCAGCAGCAGCGACUACGACUACGUAGCUAUAUGACUUAUAUGUUGUGGCGGCGCGCGCGAGUAGGAGCGCGCGCGGCGGUAGCAGAGUAUAGCGCCCCCCGGCGAGGCGCGGGACUAUGAGGACGAUAGGCGCGAUACGACUAGAUAGUACGAACAAUGGCCGG
RNAcentral lists this ribosomal RNA (842 nucleotides) under Micrococcus sp. RNAcentral's name for it is "partial 16S ribosomal RNA". It matches the Rfam family "Bacterial small subunit ribosomal RNA", at positions 809 to 1285 of the family's 1533-position model. The record is from RNAcentral. RNAcentral also lists the same sequence under 1 other name. Lineage: Bacteria; Bacillati; Actinomycetota; Actinomycetes; Micrococcales; Micrococcaceae.